AACGCGAAGAACCUUACCGGGGCUUGACAUCCUGCGACAUCCUAGGAGACUAGGUUUCCGGGCAACCGGACGCAGAGACAGGUGCUGCAUGGCUGUCGUCAGCUCGUGCCGUGAGGUGUUGGGUUAAGUCCCGCAACGAGCGCAACCCUUGCCGUGUGUUGGUCGCAAGAUCUCUCACGCGGGACCGCCGGUGACAAGCCGGAGGAAGGUGGGGAUGAUGUCAAGUCAGCAUGGCCCUUACGUCCCGGGCUACACACGUGCUACAAUGGGAGGGACAACGAGUCGCGAACCCGCGAGGGCAAGCUAAUCUCACAAACCCUCUCUCAGUUCGGAUUGAAGGCUGCAACUCGCCUUCAUGAAGUCGGAAUCGCUAGUAACCGUAGAUCAGCUACGCUGCGGUGAAUACGUUCCCGGGCCUUGUA
RNAcentral lists this ribosomal RNA (422 nucleotides) under uncultured bacterium. RNAcentral describes it as "bacterial SSU rRNA". It matches the Rfam family "Bacterial small subunit ribosomal RNA", at positions 958 to 1385 of the family's 1533-position model. The record is from RNAcentral.